RNAcentral lists this ribosomal RNA (301 nucleotides) under uncultured bacterium. RNAcentral's name for it is "partial 16S ribosomal RNA". It matches the Rfam family "Bacterial small subunit ribosomal RNA", at positions 510 to 808 of the family's 1533-position model. The record is from RNAcentral.
CGUCGCCGCGGUAAUACAGAGGGUGCGAGCGUUAAUCGGAUUUACUGGGCGUAAAGCGUGCGUAGGCGGCUUUUUAAGUCGGAUGUGAAAUCCCUGAGCUUAACUUAGGAAUUGCAUUCGAUACUGGGAAGCUAGAGUAUGGGAGAGGAUGGUAGAAUUCCAGGUGUAGCGGUGAAAUGCGUAGAGAUCUGGAGGAAUACCGAUGGCGAAGGCAGCCAUCUGGCCUAAUACUGACGCUGAGGUACGAAAGCAUGGGGAGCAAACAGGAUUAGAUACCCCCGUAGUCCCUGUCUCUUAUACA